GAUGAACGCUGGCGGCGUGCUUAACACAUGCAAGUCGAACGAAGCACUUUACCUGAUUUCCUUCGGGGAUGAUUGUUCUGUGACUGAGUGGCGGACGGGUGAGUAACGCGUGGAUAACCUGCCUCACACAGGGGGAUAACAGUUGGAAACGGCUGCUAAUACCGCAUAAGCGCACAGCACCGCAUGGUGCAGUGUGAAAAACUCCGGUGGUGUGAGAUGGAUCCGCGUCUGAUUAGCUAGUUGGCGGGGUAACGGCCCACCAAGGCGACGAUCAGUAGCCGGCCUGAGAGAGCGACCGGCCACAUUGGGACUGAGACACGGCCCAGACUCCUACGGGAGGCAGCAGUGGGGAAUAUUGCACAAUGGGGGAAACCCUGAUGCAGCGACGCCGCGUGAGCGAUGAAGUAUUUCGGUAUGUAAAGCUCUAUCAGCAGGGAAGAUAA
This 443-nucleotide ribosomal RNA is filed under the name uncultured bacterium. RNAcentral describes it as "bacterial SSU rRNA". It matches the Rfam family "Bacterial small subunit ribosomal RNA", at positions 28 to 451 of the family's 1533-position model. The record is from RNAcentral.